RNAcentral lists this small nucleolar RNA (135 nucleotides) under Stegastes partitus (bicolor damselfish). Its description in RNAcentral is "Small nucleolar RNA SNORA47 (ENSSPAG00000020193.1)". It matches the Rfam family "Small nucleolar RNA SNORA47". Lineage: Eukaryota; Metazoa; Chordata; Actinopteri; Pomacentridae. The record is from Rfam by way of RNAcentral.
UGGAGGACUGAGAAGGUUGAACAGCUUGUGUUGUGCUGUUGUAACUGGUUAUUACCUCCAAGAGUAACACACUAACUGCACAAUUAAAUCACUCUGUUCUAGGCAGAGCUGAUACGUGUGUUUGUGGGACAUUUU